UGCCCCUUUUAUAUUGUCCUACUGGUGACCCUCUAAUGAAAGCAGUGCAAUGUUAAAAGGGCA
Hucho hucho (huchen) is the source of this 63-nucleotide microRNA precursor. Lineage: Eukaryota; Metazoa; Chordata; Actinopteri; Salmoniformes; Salmonidae. The record is from Ensembl.